UAUAAAAGCCGUACAUUGUCGGAUCUGCGAUGCAGUGUUGAAGCUUGGUCUUGCGCAAUGGGAAUCUACGAACCGUGUCAGGUUGGGAACAAAGCAGCACUAAGUAGAACCUCUCAUGUGCCGUAAGGGUGCCGGGUGGAGCUGUAUUUGCAGCCGGCGUGUGCGGUCUUUGUA
RNAcentral lists this signal recognition particle RNA (174 nucleotides) under Lachnospiraceae bacterium. Its description in RNAcentral is "signal recognition particle sRNA large type". The stretch from base 42 to 141 matches the Rfam family "Bacterial small signal recognition particle RNA". From Rfam's summary of the family: The signal recognition particle (SRP) is a universally conserved ribonucleoprotein involved in the co-translational targeting of proteins to membranes. Archaeal SRP consists of a 7S RNA and homologues of the eukaryotic SRP19 and SRP54 proteins. Lineage: Bacteria; Bacillati; Bacillota; Clostridia; Lachnospirales; Lachnospiraceae. The record is from RNAcentral.